GUUUUUCGCUUGAGGAUGAGCCCGCGUGAGAUUAGCUAGUUGGUGAGGUAAUGGCUCACCAAGGCAACGACCUCUAGCUGGUCUGAGAGGAUGAUCAGCCACACUGGAACUGAGACACGGUCCAGACUCCUACGGGGGGCAGCAGUAGGGAAUAUUGCGCAAUGGAGGAAACUCUGACGCAGCGACGCCGCGUGAGUGAUGAAGGCCUUCGGGUCGUAAAGCUCUGUCGCAGGGGAAUAACACAAUG
RNAcentral lists this ribosomal RNA (247 nucleotides) under uncultured Bdellovibrio sp. Its description in RNAcentral is "partial 16S ribosomal RNA". It matches the Rfam family "Bacterial small subunit ribosomal RNA", at positions 210 to 456 of the family's 1533-position model. Lineage: Bacteria; Pseudomonadati; Bdellovibrionota; Bdellovibrionia; Bdellovibrionales; Pseudobdellovibrionaceae. The record is from RNAcentral.